AUAUUGCGCAAUGGGCGAAAGCCUGACGCAGCAACGCCGCGUGGAUGAUGAAGUUCUUCGGAAUGUAAAAUCCUUUUGCAGGGGACGAAUAUGCUGGCUUGCCAGCACUGACGGUACCUUGCGCAUAAGCCACGGCUAACUCUGUGCCAGCAGCCGCGGUGAUACAGGGGUGGCGAGCGUUGUCCGGCUUUACUGGGGGUAAAGGGUGCGCAGGCGGACCGAUAAGUCGGGGGUUACAUCCAUGUGCUUAACACAUGCACGGCUUCCGAUACUGUCGGUCUAGAGUCUCGAAGAGGAAGGUGGCAUCUCCGGUGUAACGGUGGAAGGUGUAGAUAUCGGAAAGAACACCAGUGGCGAAGGCAGCCUCCUGGUCGAGAACUGACGCUCAUGCACGAAAGCGUGGGGAGCAAACA
RNAcentral lists this ribosomal RNA (413 nucleotides) under uncultured bacterium. RNAcentral's name for it is "bacterial SSU rRNA". It matches the Rfam family "Bacterial small subunit ribosomal RNA", at positions 361 to 774 of the family's 1533-position model. The record is from RNAcentral.